GCCAGGUGUGAUGGCUCACGCCUGUAAUCCCAGCACUUUGGGAGGCUGAGGUGGGCGGAUCACCUGAGGUCAGGAGUUCAAUAUCAGCUUGACCAACAUGGUGAAACCCCGUCUCUA
This 117-nucleotide non-coding RNA is filed under the name Chlorocebus sabaeus (green monkey). Lineage: Eukaryota; Metazoa; Chordata; Mammalia; Primates; Cercopithecidae. The record is from Rfam by way of RNAcentral.